GGAGGUGUGUGUGUGCAUGUGGAAGUGUGCGUGUGCAUGUGAAAGUAUGUGUGUGCAGGUGGAAGUGUGUGUGUGCAGGUGGAGGUGUGUGUGUGCAGGUGGAAGUGUGCAUGCAUGUGGAAGUGUGCGUGUGCAUAUGGAUGUGUGUGCAUGUGAAGGUUGUGUGCAUGUGGAGGUGUGCGUGCGCAUGUGGAGGUGUGCGUGUUCAUGUGAAGGUGUGUGUGUGCAUGUGAAGGUAUGUGUGUGCAGGUGGAGGUGUGUGUCCCUACGGAGGUGUGCAUCUGCAUGUGAAGGUGUGCGUGUGCAUGUGAAGGUGUGUGUGUGCAUGUGGAGGUGUAUCUGUGCAUGUGGAGGUGUGCGUGUGCAGCUGGAGGUGUGUGUGCAGGUGGAAGUGUGCAUGUGCAUGUGAAGGUAUGCAUGUGCAGGUGGAGGUGUGUGCAUG
Molecule: long non-coding RNA, 442 nt
Filed under: Homo sapiens (human)
Lineage: Eukaryota; Metazoa; Chordata; Mammalia; Primates; Hominidae
Description: non-protein coding lnc-HSD11B1-4:6
Source: RNAcentral